Molecule: long non-coding RNA, 821 nt
Filed under: Microcebus murinus (gray mouse lemur)
Lineage: Eukaryota; Metazoa; Chordata; Mammalia; Primates; Cheirogaleidae
Description: lncRNA (ENSMICG00000048574.1)
Source: RNAcentral
GCCCUCUGCGGUUACCCGGAAGUGAUUAACAUUCACUUCCUGCGCUCUGGGGGAAUUGGGGCAUGGCCGGAGACGUUAAGUUGCUUUAUUUUAAAAAUAAUAAUAAUAACAAAAUUUGAUUUCUUCCAAGCCGGGUGUUUAUGCCCAGACAUAAAAUACGCAUUUCACAGAGGGCCUUCUACAGUUAACAAAAAAGUGAAAAAUUAGAAAAUAAAAUCUGCACCGUGGAGUGGACUAAAACCAAAGCUGGAGACGGGAAUUUCUCCCGAGCGCAGUUCUGGAGCGCAGGGUUUGAAGUGGAUCCUCCCUUGGGGCUCAGGAUGGCUUGCUGGAGUGCUGAGCUACUCCACACGGAAGCCCCCAUCCCUGAGCACCCGCAGAAUACCCGAAGAGCUGCAAGCCACGGGGGACUCAGGCCAGCUCUACAUCUGGUGACCCCUGGGUGUUGCUGCAAAGUCCAAGCUUUGUCCUCUCACCCCUUGGCCCUACAGGAGGGAGGAAGCAUCCUACUGGGAAGAUUCCCUCUGCACCCUCUGCACCCUGGUAUGGAGGUGACCUCGGGACAGAGCCAAGUAUUGCAGGGCGAAAGGCACCUGAAGCCAGCAGUGUGGAAUGUCUUCUCCCUUGGGAUAAAGGAUGCUCUAUCAGCUUUUUUCUCGGCCAUGAGAGUGUAACACAGAAAAUCUUUCCGAUACUUAUAAACACAUAAAGCGGACAAUCUUCAAAUGCUGAUUAAAACACCUUGGGCUUUCCUUCUCUUCCUCAGUAACUGUAUUUACAUCAGAGGAAGAAAAACGAUUCAGUAGCAUUUUAUAAAAGCC